CCUACGGGAGGCAGCAGUGAGGAAUAUUGGUCAAUGGGCGUAAGCCUGAACCAGCCAAGUCGCGUGAGGGAUGAAGGUUCUAUGGAUCGUAAACCUCUUUUAUAAGGGAAUAAAGUGUGGGACGUGUCCUGUUUUGUAUGUACCUUAUGAAUAAGGAUCGGCUAACUCCGUGCCAGCAGCCGCGGUAAUACGGAGGAUCCGAGCGUUAUCCGGAUUUAUUGGGUUUAUAGGGUGCGUAGGCGGCCUUUUAAGUCAGCGGUGAAAGUCUGUGGCUCAACCAUAGAAUUGCCGUUGAAACUGGGAGGCUUGAGUAUGUUUGAGGCAGGGGGAAUGCGUGGUGUAGCGGUGAAAUGCUUAGAUAUCACGCAGAACCCCGAUUGCGAAGGCAGCCUGCCAAGCCAUGACUGACGCUGAUGCACGAAAGCGUGGGGAUCAAACAGGAUUAGAUACCCCAGUAGUC
This 460-nucleotide ribosomal RNA is filed under the name uncultured bacterium. RNAcentral's name for it is "partial 16S ribosomal RNA". It matches the Rfam family "Bacterial small subunit ribosomal RNA", at positions 338 to 795 of the family's 1533-position model. The record is from RNAcentral.